This 433-nucleotide ribosomal RNA is filed under the name uncultured bacterium. RNAcentral describes it as "partial 16S ribosomal RNA". It matches the Rfam family "Bacterial small subunit ribosomal RNA", at positions 29 to 507 of the family's 1533-position model. The record is from RNAcentral.
AACGAACGCUGGCGGCAGGCCUAACACAUGCAAGUCGAGCGAGGACUUCGGUCCUAGCGGCGGACGGGUGAGUAACGCGUGGGAACGUGCCCUUUGCUUCGGAAUAGCCCUGGGAAACUGGGAGUAAUACCGGAUGAGCCCUUUGGGGGAAAGAUUUAUCGGCGAAGGAUCGGCCCGCGUUGGAUUAGGUAGUUGGUUGGGUAAUGGCCUACCAAGCCGACGAUCCAUAGCUGGUUUGAGAGGAUGAUCAGCCACACUGGGACUGAGACACGGCCCAGACUCCUACCGGGAGCAACAAUUGGGGAUCUUAGACCAUUGGGGGAACCCUUAUCUUGCCCUGCCGCGUUAACCAUUAAGGCCUUAGGGUUUUUAAGCUCUUUCAGCUUGGGAGAUUAUGACGGUACCAGCAGAAGAAGCCCCGGCUAACUCCGUG